GACGAACGCUGGCGGCGUGCCUAAUACAUGCAAGUUGAACGAUGACGCUUUGUGCUUUCACCAUUAUGGAUAGCGGCUGACGGGUGAGUGACGCGUGGAUAAUCUUCUUUUUUUCGGUGGACAACAUCUUGAAACGAAUUCUACUACCACAUAAUACCUUUAAACAUAGGUUUUAAGUUUUAUAGAUACAAUUCCAUCACUCAUGGAUCAUCCCGCGUUUGAUUAGCUAGUUGGUUAGGGAAAGGCUCACCAAGGCGAAGGUACAUAGCCGACCUGGGUGGGAGAAGCGGCAACAUGGGACUGAGAAAAGGCCCAAGAUUCCUAGGGGAGCAGCAGUAGGGGAUCAUUGGAAAUGGACGAAAGGCUGACCGAAGAAAGACGGGUGAGUGAAGAAGGUUUUCGGAUUGUAAAACUCUGUUGGUAGAGAAGAACGAUGAGGAGAGUGGAAAGCUGAUGAAGUGACGGUAACUAGAGAGAAAGGGACGGCUAACUACGUG
This 497-nucleotide ribosomal RNA is filed under the name uncultured bacterium. RNAcentral's name for it is "partial 16S ribosomal RNA". It matches the Rfam family "Bacterial small subunit ribosomal RNA", at positions 28 to 507 of the family's 1533-position model. The record is from RNAcentral.